RNAcentral lists this ribosomal RNA (601 nucleotides) under Citrobacter sp. Its description in RNAcentral is "bacterial SSU rRNA". It matches the Rfam family "Bacterial small subunit ribosomal RNA", at positions 543 to 1146 of the family's 1533-position model. Lineage: Bacteria; Pseudomonadati; Pseudomonadota; Gammaproteobacteria; Enterobacterales; Enterobacteriaceae. The record is from RNAcentral.
AAUCGGAAUUACUGGGCGUAAAGCGCACGCAGGCGGUCUGUCAAGUCGGAUGUGAAAUCCCCGGGCUCAACCUGGGAACUGCAUUCGAAACUGGCAGGCUUGAGUCUCGUAGAGGGGGGUAGAAUUCCAGGUGUAGCGGUGAAAUGCGUAGAGAUCUGGAGGAAUACCGGUGGCGAAGGCGGCCCCCUGGACGAAGACUGACGCUCAGGUGCGAAAGCGUGGGGAGCAAACAGGAUUAGAUACCCUGGUAGUCCACGCCGUAAACGAUGUCUAUUUGGAGGUUGUGCCCUUGAGGCGUGGCUUCCGGAGCUAACGCGUUAAAUAGACCGCCUGGGGAGUACGGCCGCAAGGUUAAAACUCAAAUGAAUUGACGGGGGCCCGCACAAGCGGGGAGCAUGUGGUUUAAUUCGAUGCAACGCGAAGAACCUUACCUGGUCUUGACAUCCAAGAACUUGGCAGAGAUGCCUUGGUGCCUUCGGGAACUGUGAGACAGGUGCUGCAUGGCUGUCGUCAGCUCGUGUUGUGAAAUGUUGGGUUAAGUCCCGCAACGAGCGCAACCCUUAUCCUUUGUUGCCAGCGGUUCGGCCGGGAACUCAAAGGA